UACUAGAGUAGCACUCGCAUAUCAAUAAGCGGAGGAAAAGAAACUAACAAGGAUUCCCCUAGUAACGGCGAGUGAAGCGGGAAGAGCUCAAAUUUGAAAUCUUAAAGGGUUUCCCUUUACGAAUUGUAGUUUAAAGAAGUGUUUUCUGUUGAGGUUUUGGUAAAAGUUCUUUGGAAUAGGACAUCAUAGAGGGUGAGAAUCCCGUAUUUGACCUUUACUUUCAACUUUGUGAUACACUUUCAAAGAGUCGGAUCGUUUGGGAAUGCAGUCCAAAAUGGGUGGUAAAUUUCAUCUAAAGCUAAAUAUUGGCGAGAGACCGAUAGCGAACAAGUACCGUGAGGGAAAGAUGAAAAGAACUUUGAAAGGAGAGUUAAACAGUACGUGAAAUUGUCAAAAGGGAAGCGUUUGACACCAGUGUUGUUUUUCUGAAAAUCAAUUAAAGAACUGUUUAUGCUAAGUUGUUUAGACUUUAUCAGCUAUCUGAUUUAGUUUUGAGCUUUUCUUUAAUGCACUUUUCAGUUAACAAGUCAACAUCAAUUUCUUUUGCUGUAAAAAAGCUUGAGGAAGGUGGCUUGAGAUUCGUCUUAAGUGUUUAUAGCCUCUUGCCUAUGCAGUCGGAGAGAUUGAGGUCUGCAGCGUAGAUCCUUCGGGGCUAAAUGCAUUUGAUGCUAAGUUAUAGCAUUUUAUAGACAACUUGUUGACUAUGAUUUGUCUUGUAGCUUACUCGCUUAUGUUAUUUUACCUACGCUUAGGAUGUUGAGCGCAUGUCUCUCUCU
This 776-nucleotide ribosomal RNA is filed under the name uncultured Neocallimastigales. Its description in RNAcentral is "partial large subunit ribosomal RNA". It matches the Rfam family "Eukaryotic large subunit ribosomal RNA", at positions 20 to 616 of the family's 3401-position model. Lineage: Eukaryota; Fungi; Neocallimastigomycota; Neocallimastigomycetes; Neocallimastigales. The record is from RNAcentral.